CCCUUAGAUGUCCGGGGCUGCACGCGCGCUACACUGUAGAAAGCAGCGUGCUUUAAAACCUUUCCUGAAAAGGAUGGGUAACCCCAGCAAAAUUCUACGUGCUUGGGAUAGAGAUUUGCAAUUUUCUCUCUUGAACGAGGAAUUCCCAGUAAGUGCGAGUCAUCAGCUCGCGUUGAUUACGUCCCUGCCCUUUGUACACACCGCCCGUCGCACCUACCGAUUGAAUGGUCCGGUGAAGCCUCGGGAUUGUGGCCAGUUCACUUUAUUGGGAGUUGGCUGCGAGAACUUGUCUAAACCUUAUCAUUUAGAGGAAGGUGAAGUCGUAACA
This 328-nucleotide ribosomal RNA is filed under the name uncultured eukaryote. RNAcentral describes it as "partial 18S ribosomal RNA". It matches the Rfam family "Eukaryotic small subunit ribosomal RNA", at positions 1470 to 1796 of the family's 1831-position model. The record is from RNAcentral.